GAAACGGUGAUUAAUACCGGAUACUCCUUCUCUCUUAAUGAGAGUCGGGAAAGUUUUUCGCUAAGGGAUCGGCCUAUGUUGUAUCAGGUAGUUGGUGAGGUAAUGGCUCACCAAGCCUAUGACACAUAGCGGGUCUGAGAGGAUGAUCCGCCACACUGGUACUGAGACACGGACCAGACUCCUACGGGAGGCAGCAGUGGGGAAUAUUGCACAAUGGGCGAAAGCCUGAUGCAGCAACGCCGCGUGGAGGAUGCCACAUUUCGGUGCGUAAACUCCUUUUAUAUAAGAAGAUAAUGACGGUAUUAUAUGAAUAAGCACCGGCUAACUCCGUGCCAGCAGCCGCGGUAAUACGGAGGGUGCAAGCGUUAUUCGGAAUCACUGGGCGUAAAGGGUGCGUAGGCGGUUUGGAAAGUCAGAUGUGAAAGCCUACAGCUUAACUGUAGAACUGCAUUUGAAACUUCCAGACUAGAAUACUGAAGGGGCAGAUGGAAUUAGUGGUGUAGGGGUAAAAUCCGUAGAUAUCACUAGGAAUACCGAAAGCGAAAGCGAUCUGCUGGGAAGUU
This 563-nucleotide ribosomal RNA is filed under the name uncultured bacterium. RNAcentral's name for it is "bacterial SSU rRNA". It matches the Rfam family "Bacterial small subunit ribosomal RNA", at positions 153 to 738 of the family's 1533-position model. The record is from RNAcentral.